This 420-nucleotide ribosomal RNA is filed under the name uncultured Rhizobiaceae bacterium. RNAcentral describes it as "bacterial SSU rRNA". It matches the Rfam family "Bacterial small subunit ribosomal RNA", at positions 348 to 785 of the family's 1533-position model. Lineage: Bacteria; Pseudomonadati; Pseudomonadota; Alphaproteobacteria; Hyphomicrobiales; Rhizobiaceae. The record is from RNAcentral.
GCAGCAGUGGGGAAUAUUGGACAAUGGGCGCAAGCCUGAUCCAGCCAUGCCGCGUGAGUGAUGAAGGCCUUAGGGUUGUAAAGCUCUUUCACCGAUGAAGAUAAUGACGGUAGUCGGAGAAGAAGCCCCGGCUAACUUCGUGCCAGCAGCCGCGGUAAUACGAAGGGGGCUAGCGUUGUUCGGAAUUACUGGGCGUAAAGCGCACGUAGGCGGAUAUUUAAGUCAGGGGUGAAAUCCCAGAGCUCAACUCUGGAACUGCCUUUGAUACUGGGUAUCUUGAGUAUGGAAGAGGUUAGUGGAAUUGCGAGUGUAGAGGUGAAAUUCGUAGAUAUUCGCAGGAACACCAGUGGCGAAGGCGGCUAACUGGUCCAUAACUGACGCUGAGGUGCGAAAGCGUGGGGAGCAAACAGGAUUAGAUAC